Molecule: long non-coding RNA, 437 nt
Filed under: Trifolium pratense (red clover)
Lineage: Eukaryota; Viridiplantae; Streptophyta; Magnoliopsida; Fabales; Fabaceae
Description: long non-coding RNA (TPRA_LNC012822)
Source: RNAcentral
GGAAAAUGCAUUAUAAUGGAAAAGUUGGAUGGUGGCUUUCAAAGCAAAGAAAUUUUAAUAUAAAAUGUUAUUCAAAAUGUGGAUUGUGUCUAUUGUCUUUUUAUGUCCCUAAUUGUAAAACUGUCACUAGUAGUAUGGUAUACAUGAACUCACUAACUCCAAAUUCGAUGAUAAGAUGAUAUAAUUUGUUACAUGAUUUUUGUAAGGGAUUGUCUUGGUGGCUCAAGAAUAUAAUGUGAAAGCUAGUUAUUGCCUUAAAUUUAAUUUUAAUAUAAAAUUUCACUCAUAACAUAAGGCAUGGAUAUUAUCUAUUGUACUUUGAUGACCCUAGUCCCUAAAUGCAAUUUUGCAACUACAAUAUGAAGUGAUUUUGCAAAUGCAAAAGGAAGUGCAUCCUUUGUGCAUGAGCCCACUAACUCCAAAUCAAAAAUACGAUG